GACGAACGCUGGCGGCGUGCUUAACACAUGCAAGUCGAACGGAAAGGCCCUGCUUUUGUGGGGUGCUCGAGUGGCGAACGGGUGAGUAACACGUGAGUAACCUGCCCUUGACUUUGGGAUAACUUCAGGAAACUGGGGCUAAUACCGGAUAGGAGCUCCUGCUGCAUGGUGGGGGUUGGAAAGUUUCGGCGGUUGGGGAUGGACUCGCGGCUUAUCAGCUUGUUGGUGGGGUAGUGGCUUACCAAGGCUUUGACGGGUAGCCGGCCUGAGAGGGUGACCGGCCACAUUGGGACUGAGAGAGGGCCCAGCCUCCUACGGGAGGCAGCAGUGGGGAAUAUUGCACAAUGGGCGGAAGCCUGAUGCAGCAACGCCGCGUGCGGGAUGCCGGCCUUCGGGUUGUAAACCGCUUUAGCCUGUGACGAAGCGUGAGUGGCGGUAAUGGGUAAAGAAGCACCGGCUAACUACGUG
RNAcentral lists this ribosomal RNA (468 nucleotides) under uncultured bacterium. Its description in RNAcentral is "partial 16S ribosomal RNA". It matches the Rfam family "Bacterial small subunit ribosomal RNA", at positions 28 to 507 of the family's 1533-position model. The record is from RNAcentral.